Molecule: long non-coding RNA, 334 nt
Organism: Aethalodelphis obliquidens (Pacific white-sided dolphin)
Lineage: Eukaryota; Metazoa; Chordata; Mammalia; Artiodactyla; Delphinidae
Exons: 3
Source: RefSeq, a predicted model, not a curated record
GAAAGCUACGUCUCAGGGGAGCUCACCUUCGAGUCCAGCUUCCUGCACCUCUUCAGGCCAGAACCCAGAAGCUGCCCAAAUGGUCAUCAGUAGGAAAUUGGAAUGAUUGGUGGUGAUGGAGGCCGCUCUGCAGCAAGGAUGAGCCACUGCUCCACACACCAACAUGGAGGAAUCUUCCAGACAUCAGGUUGAGUGAAAGAUGUCGGAGACAGAAUAUACUCUCAGGAGCUGUGUCCCACUGCCCUGGGCCUCCUCCAAAUCAGGGAUCUCCACGGUCGCACAGCACACGUAGAGCCCAUUGUCAUUGAGGCUCACGUGGUCCAGCUGCAGGGUG